UGGGGAAUUUUGGACAAUGGGCGCAGGCCUGAUCCAGCCAUGCCGCGUGUCUGAAGAAGGCCUUCGGGUUGUAAAGGACUUUUGUCAGGGAAGAAAAGGAUAGGGUUAAUACCCCUGUCUGAUGACGGUACCUGAAGAAUAAGCACCGGCUAACUACGUGCCAGCAGCCGCGGUAAUACGUAGGGUGCGAGCGUUAAUCGGAAUUACUGGGCGUAAAGCGGGCGCAGACGGUUACUUAAGCAGGAUGUGAAAUCCCCGGGCUCAACCUGGGAACUGCGUUCUGAACUGGGUGACUAGAGUGUGUCAGAGGGAGGUAGAAUUCCACGUGUAGCAGUGAAAUGCGUAGAGAUGUGGAGGAAUACCGAUGGCGAAGGCAGCCUCCUGGGAUAACACUGACGUUCAUGCCCGAAAGCGUGGGUAGCAAACAGGAUUAGAUACCCUGGUAGUCCACGCCCUAAACGAUGUCGAUUAGCUGUUGGGCAGCUUGACUGCUUAGUAGCGAAGCUAACGCGUGAAAUCGACCGCCUGGGGAGUACGGUCGCAAGAUUA
Molecule: ribosomal RNA, 549 nt
Filed under: uncultured bacterium
Lineage: Bacteria
Description: bacterial SSU rRNA
Rfam family: Bacterial small subunit ribosomal RNA
Source: RNAcentral